RNAcentral lists this ribosomal RNA (484 nucleotides) under uncultured bacterium. RNAcentral describes it as "partial 16S ribosomal RNA". It matches the Rfam family "Bacterial small subunit ribosomal RNA", at positions 30 to 507 of the family's 1533-position model. The record is from RNAcentral.
AUUGAACGCUGGCGGCAGGCCUAACACAUGCAAGUCGAGCGGAUGAAGGGAGCUUGCUCCUGGAUUCAGCGGCGGACGGGCGAGUAAUGCCUAGGAAUCUGCCUGGUAGUGGGGGAUAACGUCCGGAAACGGGCGCUAAUACCGCAUACGUCCUGAGGGAGAAAGUGGGGGAUCUUCGGACCUCACGCUAUCAGAUGAGCCUAGGUCGGAUUAGCUAGUUGGUGGGGUAAAGGCCUACCAAGGCGACGAUCCGUAACUGGUCUGAGAGGAUGAUCAGUCACACUGGAACUGAGACACGGUCCAGACUCCUACGGGAGGCAGCAGUGGGGAAUAUUGGACAAUGGGCGAAAGCCUGAUCCAGCCAUGCCGCGUGUGUGAAGAAGGUCUUCGGAUUGUAAAGCACUUUAAGUUGGGAGGAAGGACAGUAAGUUAAUACCUUGCCGUUUUGACGUUACCAACAGAAUAAGCACCGGCUAACUUCGUG